RNAcentral lists this transfer RNA (57 nucleotides) under Hylaeus dilatatus. Its description in RNAcentral is "tRNA-Ser". Lineage: Eukaryota; Metazoa; Arthropoda; Insecta; Hymenoptera; Colletidae. The record is from RNAcentral.
AGAAAUAAAUAUAAGAACUUCUAAUUCUAAAAAAAUGUUAAAUCAUUAAUAUUUCUU